This 501-nucleotide long non-coding RNA is filed under the name Homo sapiens (human). RNAcentral describes it as "HSALNT0114170". The record is from RNAcentral. Lineage: Eukaryota; Metazoa; Chordata; Mammalia; Primates; Hominidae.
UAUAAAUGUCAUCUAUUGGCAAAUAUAAUUUGCCUACAGAGGCCUGGACCAACAGUCCCUCGGUGAAUUCAUGACAAAACGCCUGAAUGUGGAAUCAGGGUAGUCGCAUGUUCAAACCAAAACUCUAUCCGCUGCUGGUCCAAGGUGCCUCUUGCUGUUGCCAAUUAGCCGGGACACCCAGAACUAACCCAGGAGCUUAUAAAGGAGGUUCACAACACAUCCGUUGAAAUGCUGGGAUUGUGACUGACUCAGUUAGGCAGGAAGAACAAGUCCUCGUGUCAAUGAGUGGAAGGAUGACACAUUUGCUGGAAAAUACAGUGUGUUGUCGUAUUCACACUAACACCACUGAGAAGUUGAUCCUGUUAUUAUUAUUCGCAGCGACAUUUCCUGGCUUAGACCUAGCGUACUGGGUAAUGCCCAUAUGUUCAGAACAGUCAAUACUGCAACGGCGAAAGGGAAAGGCUCGGGGGGUGGUGGACUACUGGAAGGGUAAAUGGGAGA